This 1125-nucleotide long non-coding RNA is filed under the name Fragaria vesca (wild strawberry). Its description in RNAcentral is "long non-coding RNA (FVES_LNC004724)". The record is from RNAcentral. Lineage: Eukaryota; Viridiplantae; Streptophyta; Magnoliopsida; Rosales; Rosaceae.
UAACAUCCCGAUGAACUUCUUUAAAGAAUGGGUAGUGAGCCCGUAGAAGUAUAAGCAGCAUAAGCAGUAGAUAAUAGUGUAACACGUGACCAGUGUGCUAACACUUCAACCAACACCAUAAAGCAUAAAAGGUGUCCGCAAGUUGGUUGUAUCUAUCUACAUAAUUUUAUGUAAGAAUAGAAUGUUCACUUUUGUGUUGUUUAGCAUAGGAGGGUCUCACUCCUAAUUUAGCUAAAGAAUAGGCUUUCAAAACGAGCAAUGAGCAUUGCAGGGGGUCAAUGCGACAUCGAGGAAAGGCCGGUACACCUUAAUUGCUUGAGGAAUUGACCGGACGACCUCCAGGAAGUUGGAGUCGUGUUCGGGUGACGUCAAUGUCCCCCGGGUCACCACCAUGCUUCAUGGUGAUGCUAGGUCUCGAAUGUCUUCGUUUUGAGCGGAAGAAUGGAUGUCCAUGAGAAUUUCUCAAAAUUUGGAUCAUUAUAUCUCUUCCAGGUUGACCAAUUUAGUCAAACCAAAGCCUAUAUGAGUCAGUGUCCCAAAUAUCAUGUUUGGCAACAACAUGAGAUUCGAUAUUCGAAUCAUAGUGACAUACAGUCCACUAGAUUGACUCAUGAAUUUCUCCAAGAUGCGCUUCAGCCCGCAUUCAUGAGAAGGUAUACACAAAAGAAUUCUUGUUCAUUCUCACAAUGUGUUUUCAAAUGAAAACCAUUAGCAUGAAUGUCUUUAAAGCUCAACAUGGUUCCUUAAAAUGUUGUGGAUAGUUCCACUAUCUGCGAAGCACUCAAUGUCUCUAUGAGACAUAACUACAAGGAGUAGAUAGGCGAGUAAAUAGUUCUACUUGAACCAUUUAGAAGGAUUGAAAGAAGCUACGAAAAGCUGCAAUCCCGAGAGUGCAUAAAAAUUGCCGCGCAGAAUGACCUUUGCGCACUAAAACAGCCAUAACUUCUUCGUUAAAAUAGAUAUGGACAAACCGUGAAAAUUUACUGAAAACUAGACUCAUAGAGAUUUCCAAUGAUAUAAAGCUCACUGUCUGGUUCGUCCGGAGCUGUUCACAAAGCUCAAACGAAGUUGACUGUCCAGAAGGGACAGAUUGCUGUUUUUCGCAGAUUUGGCAUGUGCGAAGCU